GUCCACGCCAUAAACGAUGGGAACUAGGUGUCGGGAGAUUCGAUCCUUCCGGUGCCGACGCUAACGCAUUAAGUUCCCCGCCUGGGGAGUACGAUCGCAAGGUUGAAACUCAAAGGAAUUGACGGGGCCCGCACAAGCGGUGGAGCAUGUGGUUCAAUUCGAUGCAACGCGAAGAACCUUACCUGGCCUAGAAAUGCAACUGCAAAUCCGAUGAAAAGUCGGACUCCUUCGAGGGUGUUGCAAAAGGUGCUGCAUGGCUGUCGU
Molecule: ribosomal RNA, 264 nt
Filed under: uncultured bacterium
Lineage: Bacteria
Description: partial 16S ribosomal RNA
Rfam family: Bacterial small subunit ribosomal RNA
Source: RNAcentral